Molecule: ribosomal RNA, 109 nt
Filed under: Acanthosepion pharaonis
Lineage: Eukaryota; Metazoa; Mollusca; Cephalopoda; Sepiida; Sepiidae
Source: RNAcentral
UUACGGCCAUAUCACGUUGAAACACCGCUUUCCGUACGAUCACUGAAGUUAAGCAACGUCGAGCCUGGUCAGUACUUAAAUGGGUGACCGCUUGGGAAUACCAGGUGUU